RNAcentral lists this unclassified non-coding RNA (1147 nucleotides) under Hevea brasiliensis (rubber tree). Lineage: Eukaryota; Viridiplantae; Streptophyta; Magnoliopsida; Malpighiales; Euphorbiaceae. The record is from RNAcentral.
GCGACCGUUGAAUGUGGAGUCAUCAGUGGGAUGGCAAUGGCUGAGAAAAACCUCCUCCUCCUGUACAGAAUCAGAAUACGAAUUCCCAUACGCACCCAAUUUCCCUGCUCGUGACGCAACUAUCUUCUCCAAUACCUUCCUCUUCUUGCAUAAGGGUAAACCUCUAAAGCUUCUUCUUCUUCUUCUCUCUCCCUACGCAUUUGCUUUCGAUGGACGAGGUCAUGACGGGCUCUGACGCAUCAUCAAGCUUUCGAUCAACAUCAUCUCAGCCCUCCGUUUUUCCCUCCAACACCCCUCUCCUCUCUGCUUUCCUUGCCUUCGCUCUCGCUCAGUUUCUUAAGCUCUUCACCACCUGGUACCUCUCUUUUUCUGUCCUUUAUAUUUAUUGUCCUGUAAAAUUUUCGUUUGCUUGGUUUUACUGGAUUCUUCGAUUAGUGGUGUACUUGAUAAAAUAAUGCUAUUGGGUCUUUAUUUUUGGGUUGAUUUAAUGGGUGUUGCUCUUAUUUAUGUAUGCCCUUACUCCCCGUGUGAGCAAUGUUAGGAAAUUCUGUGCCCAUUCUAUGUUUUAGCUAUUAUAAGGAUAUAAUGUUCUUCUUGAAUAGCAUUAAUGGGCCAAGAAAGUCAAUGAAUUUGAAGUUUGAAAGCUUGUGCAUGUUGUCUAUAUAAAAAACCUAAGUUAAAAUGUUAAUUAUAUUUCUGCAAGUAGUUACAAAUUGUUGCUAUUUUUAUUUUGUUGCACUUCAAAUUAAACCACACAUUUAGGUAUGCCAGUGAUAAAGAGCGACUGCAUACAAGUAGAGAGGAUAGAAAGGGGAAAAAAUUCGCCGAAGAAGACCAGGGGUAAAAGUUAUAAGCAAGUAUUUGAUUUCUCAAUAAAAUCUCUCAAAGUAUGACUCGAGAGAGCUGAAGGGAGGGAAAGAAUUCACGUAGAUGACCUCAGUUACUAUGGGAUUAAAGAUUAUAUGAGUUUUUCUGAGCCCUUUGCAUUAAUAAAGUAAAGAGCUUUAGUAAAGAAGCAAGAUGGUGCUUAGUUUUCCAUCACUUAGAAGAGGUUGAGCAAUUUUGGGAAAGUGGAAUACUGAACAUUGUAUUUAUCUAAUUUUUUGUUAUAUAUCAGCUUGUGCACUUACUAAAACAGAGGAAUAGG